UUGGCACAUACUGUAAAAUGAAACAGAUUUUCAGGUAAUUUUCAAAUUAAGCUAUAAAAGAUGAUCAGAUAAACAUAUAUUAAGAAAAUUUUGAUACUUGUAGGUUGCCAGGCAAGUUCACCAUUGCCAUCACCUUCACCUCAAGAUGAAGAAAGGCCUUUCACUGAAACAGACUGGCGAUCAUUUCGAGCACGCUUAGUCGCCGGCGAACGAGCUUCCCGGUCAGAAGAUCGCUCCUCCGUCGUCAAUCCCGACACCGUCGACGAUCUUCCUCCGCCUCCGGCCGUCACAAUCGGCACGAAAUGGGCCCACACCAUUCACGAACCGGAAAAAG
This 334-nucleotide unclassified non-coding RNA is filed under the name Hevea brasiliensis (rubber tree). The record is from RNAcentral. Lineage: Eukaryota; Viridiplantae; Streptophyta; Magnoliopsida; Malpighiales; Euphorbiaceae.